CCUACGGGGGGCAGCAGUGGGGAAUAUUGGACAAUGGGGGCAACCCUGAUCCAGCCAUGCCGCGUGUGUGAAGAAGGCCUCGGGUUGUAAAGCACUUUCAGUGAGGAAGAACGCCUGGUGGUUAAUACCCAUCAGGAAAGACAUCACUCACAGAAGAAGCACCGGCUAACUCCGUGCCAGCAGCCGCGGUAAUACGGAGGGUGCGAGCGUUAAUCGGAAUUACUGGGCGUAAAGCGCGCGUAGGUGGCUUGAUAAGCCGGUUGUGAAAGCCCCGGGCUCAACCUGGGAACGGCAUCCGGAACUGUCAAGCUAGAGUGCAGGAGAGGAAGGUAGAAUUCCCGGUGUAGCGGUGAAAUGCGUAGAGAUCGGGAGGAAUACCAGUGGCGAAGGCGGCCUUCUGGACUGACACUGACACUGAGGUGCGAAAGCGUGGGUAGCAAACAGGAUUAGAUACCCCGGUAGUC
RNAcentral lists this ribosomal RNA (464 nucleotides) under Vreelandella stevensii. Its description in RNAcentral is "partial 16S ribosomal RNA". It matches the Rfam family "Bacterial small subunit ribosomal RNA", at positions 338 to 795 of the family's 1533-position model. Lineage: Bacteria; Pseudomonadati; Pseudomonadota; Gammaproteobacteria; Oceanospirillales; Halomonadaceae. The record is from RNAcentral.